Molecule: ribosomal RNA, 952 nt
Filed under: Escherichia coli
Lineage: Bacteria; Pseudomonadati; Pseudomonadota; Gammaproteobacteria; Enterobacterales; Enterobacteriaceae
Description: partial 23S ribosomal RNA
Rfam family: Bacterial large subunit ribosomal RNA
Source: RNAcentral
UAAUGGGUCAGCGACUUAUAUUCUGUAGCAAGGUUAACCGAAUAGGGGAGCCGAAGGGAAACCGAGUCUUAACUGGGCGUUAAGUUGCAGGGUAUAGACCCGAAACCCGGUGAUCUAGCCAUGGGCAGGUUGAAGGUUGGGUAACACUAACUGGAGGACCGAACCGACUAAUGUUGAAAAAUUAGCGGAUGACUUGUGGCUGGGGGUGAAAGGCCAAUCAAACCGGGAGAUAGCUGGUUCUCCCCGAAAGCUAUUUAGGUAGCGCCUCGUGAAUUCAUCUCCGGGGGUAGAGCACUGUUUCGGCAAGGGGGUCAUCCCGACUUACCAACCCGAUGCAAACUGCGAAUACCGGAGAAUGUUAUCACGGGAGACACACGGCGGGUGCUAACGUCCGUCGUGAAGAGGGAAACAACCCAGACCGCCAGCUAAGGUCCCAAAGUCAUGGUUAAGUGGGAAACGAUGUGGGAAGGCCCAGACAGCCAGGAUGUUGGCUUAGAAGCAGCCAUCAUUUAAAGAAAGCGUAAUAGCUCACUGGUCGAGUCGGCCUGCGCGGAAGAUGUAACGGGGCUAAACCAUGCACCGAAGCUGCGGCAGCGACACUAUGUGUUGUUGGGUAGGGGAGCGUUCUGUAAGCCUGUGAAGGUGGCCUGUGAGGGUUGCUGGAGGUAUCAGAAGUGCGAAUGCUGACAUAAGUAACGAUAAAGCGGGUGAAAAGCCCGCUCGCCGGAAGACCAAGGGUUCCUGUCCAACGUUAAUCGGGGCAGGGUGAGUCGACCCCUAAGGCGAGGCCGAAAGGCGUAGUCGAUGGGAAACAGGUUAAUAUUCCUGUACUUGGUGUUACUGCGAAGGGGGGACGGAGAAGGCUAUGUUGGCCGGGCGACGGUUGUCCCGGUUUAAGCGUGUAGGCUGGUUUUCCAGGCAAAUCCGGAAAACCAAGGCUGAGGCGUGAUGA